This 1147-nucleotide ribosomal RNA is filed under the name Weissella cibaria. RNAcentral's name for it is "bacterial SSU rRNA". It matches the Rfam family "Bacterial small subunit ribosomal RNA", at positions 49 to 1155 of the family's 1533-position model. Lineage: Bacteria; Bacillati; Bacillota; Bacilli; Lactobacillales; Lactobacillaceae. The record is from RNAcentral.
UAAUACUGCAAGUCGAACGCUUUGUGGUUCAACUGUAUUUGAAGAGCUUGCUCAGAUAUGACGAUGGACAUUGCAAAGAGUGGCGAACGGGUGAGUAACACGUGGGAAACCUACCUCUUAGCAGGGGAUAACAUUUGGAAACAGAUGCUAAUACCGUAUAACAAUAGCAACCGCAUGGUUGCUACUUAAAAGAUGGUUCUGCUAUCACUAAGAGAUGGUCCCGCGGUGCAUUAGUUAGUUGGUGAGGUAAUGGCUCACCAAGACGAUGAUGCAUAGCCGAGUUGAGAGACUGAUCGGCCACAAUGGGACUGAGACACGGCCCAUACUCCUACGGGAGGCAGCAGUAGGGAAUCUUCCACAAUGGGCGAAAGCCUGAUGGAGCAACGCCGCGUGUGUGAUGAAGGGUUUCGGCUCGUAAAACACUGUUGUAAGAGAAGAAUGACAUUGAGAGUAACUGUUCAAUGUGUGACGGUAUCUUACCAGAAAGGAACGGCUAAAUACGUGCCAGCAGCCGCGGUAAUACGUAUGUUCCAAGCGUUAUCCGGAUUUAUUGGGCGUAAAGCGAGCGCAGACGGUUAUUUAAGUCUGAAGUGAAAGCCCUCAGCUCAACUGAGGAAUUGCUUUGGAAACUGGAUGACUUGAGUGCAGUAGAGGAGAGUGGAACUCCAUGUGUAGCGGUGAAAUGCGUAGAUAUAUGGAAGAACACCAGUGGCGAAGGCGGCUUUCUGGACUGUAACUGACGUUGAGGCUCGAAAGUGUGGGUAGCACACAGGAUUAGAUACCCUGGUAGUCCACACCGUAAACGAUGAGUGCUAGGUGUUUGAGGGUUUCCGCCCUUAAGUGCCGCAGCUAACGCAUUAAGCACUCCGCCUGGGGAGUACGACCGCAAGGUUGAAACUCAAAGGAAUUGACGGGGACCCGCACAAGCGGUGGAGCAUGUGGUUUAAUUCGAAGCAACGCGAAGAACCUUACCAGGUCUUGACAUCCCUUGACAACUCCCGAGAUGGGGCGUUCCCUUCGGGACAAGGUGACAGGUGGUGCAUGGUUGUCGUCAGCUCCGGCCGGGGAAUGUGGGCUAAGUCCCGCACCAGGGGCACCCUUAUUACUAGUGGCCAGCUUUAAUUGGGCACUCUAUCGGAAAUGCCGG